Molecule: ribosomal RNA, 1217 nt
Filed under: uncultured Rhizaria
Lineage: Eukaryota
Description: SSU rRNA
Rfam family: Eukaryotic small subunit ribosomal RNA
Source: RNAcentral
CGGUAAUUCCAGCUCCAAUAGCGUAUACUAAAGUUGUUGCAGUUAAAAAGCUCGUAGUUGGAUUUCUGCGGGGACGGAGCGGCCGGUCGCAACUUGCGACUCGAGCUAGCGCUUUCCCCGCAUCCUGCCGCGAACCGUGCUACCAUUAGUUUGGUGGCGCUGGGGAUCGGCUCGAUUACUUUGAGAAAAAUAGAGUGUUCAAAGCAGGCCACACGCCUUGAAUAAGUUAGCAUGGAAUAAUGACUAAGGACUUUGGUUCUUUUCGUUGGUGUUCGGGACUGAAGUAAUGAUUGAUAGGGGCAGUUGGGGCGGUCCGUAUUCCAAAGCGAGAGGUGAAAUUCUUAGACCUUCGGAAGACGAACAGCUGCGAAAGCGUUCCGCAAGGAUGUUCCCUUUGAUCAAGAACGAAAGUUGGGGGAUCGAAGACGAUCAGAUACCGUCGUAGUCUCAACUAUAAACUAUACCAGCUAGGGAUCGGCCAACGUUUAAUUAUUCGACUUGGUCGGCACCUUAUGAGAAAUCAAAGCAUCUGGGUUCCGGGGGGAGUAUGGUCGCAAGGCUGAAACUUAAAGGAAUUGACGGAAGGGCACCACCAGCCGUGGAGCCUGUGGCUUAAUUUGACUCAACACGGGAAAACUUACCAGGUCCGGACAUAGUAAGGAUUGACAGAUUGAUAGCUCUUUCUUGAUUCUGUGGGUGGUGGUGCAUGGCCGUUUUUAGUCGGUGGAUGUGAUCUGUCUGCUUAAUUGCGUUAACGGACGAGACCCCAGCCUGCUAAAUAGCGCGGCCGAGCUUUGCUCGGUGCGAGCUUCUUAGAGGGACCAUGAUGCGCGAUAGCACAAGGAAGUUUGGGGCAACAACAGGUCUGUGAUGCCCUUAGAUGUUCUGGGCCGCACACGGGCUACACUGGCGCCUGCAACGAGCAUAUCAGCUGGCCCGAGAGGGUCUUGGCUAAUCUUUGGAACCGGCGCCGUGCUUGGGAUUGACCAUUGCAAUUGUUGGUCAUGCAACGAGGAAUGCCUUGUAAACGCGAGUCAUCAGCUCGCAUUGAAUACGUCCCUGCCCUUUGUACACACCGCCCGUCGCUCCUACCGAUGAAUGUUCCGAUGAAAUUUUCGGAGAGCGCCGGAGAACGAGGCUCCGCCCUGCAGAACUGGAGGCUCAAAGUCACUUAAAUCUGAACAUUUCGAGGAAGGAGAAGUCGUAACAAGGUAACC